UACAGAGGUCUCAACCGUUGUUCGGAUUCAUUGGGCGUAAAGGGUGCGUAGGCGGCGGGGUAAGUCAGGUGUGAAAUCUCGGGGCUCAACCCCGAAACUGCACUUGAUACUGCCUUGCUUGAGUACUGGAGAGGAGAUUGGAAUUUACGGUGUAGCAGUGAAAUGCGUAGAUAUCGUAAGGAAGACCAGUGGCGAAGGCGAAUCUCUGGACAGUUACUGACACUGAGGCUCGAAGGCCAGGGGAGCAAACGGG
Molecule: ribosomal RNA, 253 nt
Filed under: uncultured bacterium
Lineage: Bacteria
Description: partial 16S ribosomal RNA
Rfam family: Bacterial small subunit ribosomal RNA
Source: RNAcentral